RNAcentral lists this ribosomal RNA (197 nucleotides) under uncultured bacterium. Its description in RNAcentral is "partial 16S ribosomal RNA". It matches the Rfam family "Bacterial small subunit ribosomal RNA", at positions 328 to 539 of the family's 1533-position model. The record is from RNAcentral.
ACGCUCGACACCUACGGGAGGCAGCAGUGGGGAAUAUUGCACAAUGGGGGAAACCCUGAUGCAGCGACGCCGCGUGAGCGAAGAAGUAUUUCGGUAUGUAAAGCUCUAUCAGCAGGGAAGAAACUGACGGUACCUGACUAAGAAGCACCGGCUAAAUACGUGUCAGCAGCCGCGUAAUCUGAGCGGGCUGGCAAGGC